GAUGAGGAGCGACAGUUGGAGUGAUGUUUGUAGGUACGGCUAAAUCAAAUAAAUCAGCAUAGUGAUUAUAUAAUUUUUCUAUGUAAUCCUUUGCAUCAGUCGUAGCCGUCCACAAAUCAGGUUGUACUUGUUCAGAAUCAUGGUUAGUAUUUAUUUCUAAGUUAGUAUAAAUAAGAGUACUAAAGUGACACAUAUUAUUAUAUUUCAUGCACGGAUUUAGNNN
Molecule: long non-coding RNA, 223 nt
Filed under: Capsicum annuum
Lineage: Eukaryota; Viridiplantae; Streptophyta; Magnoliopsida; Solanales; Solanaceae
Description: long non-coding RNA (CANN_LNC003553)
Source: RNAcentral